GAAGAUAGAGCUCAGUGGUAGAGUUCAUGCUUAGCAUGCACAAGGUCAUGGGUUCAAUCCCUAGUACCUCCA
This 72-nucleotide transfer RNA is filed under the name Camelus bactrianus (Bactrian camel). It matches the Rfam family "tRNA". Rfam says of the family: Transfer RNA (tRNA) molecules are approximately 80 nucleotides in length. Their secondary structure includes four short double-helical elements and three loops (D, anti-codon, and T loops). Further hydrogen bonds mediate the characteristic L-shaped molecular structure. tRNAs have two regions of fundamental functional importance: the anti-codon, which is responsible for specific mRNA codon recognition, and the 3' end, to which the tRNAs corresponding amino acid is attached (by aminoacyl-tRNA synthetases). tRNAs cope with the degeneracy of the genetic code in two manners: having more than one tRNA (with a specific anti-codon) for a particular amino acid; and 'wobble' base-pairing, i.e. permitting non-standard base-pairing at the 3rd anti-codon position. RNAcentral also lists the same sequence under 2 other names. Lineage: Eukaryota; Metazoa; Chordata; Mammalia; Artiodactyla; Camelidae. The record is from Rfam by way of RNAcentral.